AGAGUUUGAUCAUGGCUCMGGACGAACGCUGGCGGCGUGCUUAACACAUGCAAGUCGCGCGAGAAAACCCCUUCGGGGGUGAGUACAGCGGCGGACGGGUGAGUAACACGUGAGCGAUCUACCCGGUGGCGGGGGACAACCCAGGGAAACCUGGACUAAUACCGCAUACAGCGGAGGGAGUAGGUGCCCUUCGUGAAAGCUGGCCUCUCCAUGGAAGCUAGCGCCGCCGGAGGAGCUCGCGGCCUAUCAGCUUGUUGGUGGGGUAACGGCCUACCAAGGCGAUGACGGGUAGCUGACGUGAGAGCGUGACCAGCCACACUGGGACUGAGACACGGCCCAGACUCCUACGGGAGGCAGCAGUGGGGAAUAUUGCGCAAUGGGCGAAAGCCUGACGCAGCGACGCCGCGUGGGGGAGGAAGGCCUUAGGGUUGUAAACCCCUGUCGGGUGGGACGAACCCUGGGUCGACGAAUAGUUGGCUCAGCUGACGGUACCAUCAGAGGAAGCUCCGGCUAACUCCGUGCCAGCAGCCGCGGUAAUACGGGGGGAGCAAGCGUUGUUCGGAAUCACUGGGCGUAAAGCGCGCGUAGGCGGCCGAGUAAGUCGUAUGUGAAAGACCGGGGCUCAACUCCGGUAUUGCAUGCGAUACUGCCCGGCUGGAGAAAGGUAGAGGCAAGUGGAAUUCCCGGUGUAGCGGUGGAAUGCGUAGAUAUCGGGAAGAACACCUGUGGCGAAGGCGGCUUGCUGGGACUUUUCUGACGCUGAAGUGCGAAAGCGUGGGGAGCAAACAGGAUUAGAUACCCUGCUAGUCCACGCCGUAAACGAUGGGUACUAGGCGUUGGGAGGAUUUGACCCUCUCAGUGCCGUAGCU
This 869-nucleotide ribosomal RNA is filed under the name uncultured bacterium. RNAcentral describes it as "bacterial SSU rRNA". It matches the Rfam family "Bacterial small subunit ribosomal RNA", at positions 8 to 853 of the family's 1533-position model. The record is from RNAcentral.